AACGCACGAGACCUGCGGACCUGCGGAAGGAUCAUUCACAAUAAGUGUUUUAUGGCACUUUAAUUCCAUAUCCACCUUGUGUGCAACGUAGUUCGUUUUUCGAACAAAACAUCAACAUUUUAAUUAUCAACAGAUCGUCUGAAGUAUUAUAUGAAUAAAUCAAUUCAAAAUACAACUUUCAACAACGGAUCUCU
This 194-nucleotide unclassified non-coding RNA is filed under the name soil metagenome. Its description in RNAcentral is "partial contains 5.8S ribosomal RNA, internal transcribed spacer 2, and large subunit ribosomal RNA". The record is from RNAcentral.